GCUCGUGUCAAGCUCUAUACAUCCAUAUCAUCAAUUUCCAGUUUUGAGUCUUCCUUGGAGCUCGAAUUUGAGGACCCAUUUUCUAGGGUUUUGGUGCAAUCUUGAGGCCUUGGAAAAGAACCGGUGGACGACAAUCCACCCCAACUUUGAAAGUUGCUAGAGGAGCAUUUUCCUUGUUAUUUUGUAAUAGACUACUCCUUUGUUCAUCCCUCAUUUUUUGUAAAAUUCCAAAGGUGUAAUGAUGUAAAUUUAUUUUGAAGAAACAUGAUCAUGUAAUACACUUAUGAUACUUGAUGACAUAUGGGAUGCGAACUUGAUGAUAUGUAACUUAUUGAUGAAUGGAAGGAUAAUCCUAGCUUGAAGCA
Long non-coding RNA from Cornus florida, 365 nucleotides. RefSeq lists it as uncharacterized. Lineage: Eukaryota; Viridiplantae; Streptophyta; Magnoliopsida; Cornales; Cornaceae. The transcript is spliced from 2 exons. The record is from RefSeq and is a predicted model, not a curated record.